AGAGAGAGACAUGCGCGCAUAUCAAUAAGCGGAGGAAAAGAAACUAACAAGGAUUCCCCUAGUAACGGCGAGUGAAGCGGGAAGAGCUCAAAUUUGAAAUCUUAAAGGGUUUCCCUUUACGAAUUGUAGUUUAAAGAAGUGUUUUCUGUUGAGGUUUUGGUAAAAGUUCUUUGGAAUAGGACAUCAUAGAGGGUGAGAAUCCCGUAUUUGACCUUUACUUUCAACUUUGUGAUACACUUUCAAAGAGUCGGAUUGUUUGGGAAUGCAGUCCAAAAUGGGUGGUAAAUUUCAUCUAAAGCUAAAUAUUGGCGAGAGACCGAUAGCGAACAAGUACCGUGAGGGAAAGAUGAAAAGAACUUUGAAAAGAGAGUUAAACAGUACGUGAAAUUGUCAAAAGGGAAGCGUUUGACACCAGUGUUGUUUUUCUGAAAAUCAAUUAAAGAACUGUUUAGUGCUAAGUUGUUUAGACUUUAUCAGCUAACUGUUUAGUUUUGAGCUUUUCUUUAAUGCACUUUUCAGUUAACAAGUCAACAUCAAUUUCUUUUGCUGUAAAAAAGCUUGAGGAAGGUGGCUUGAGAUUCGUCUUAAGUGUUUAUAGCCUCUUGCCUAUGCAGUCGGAGAGAUUGAGGUCUGCAGCGUAGAUCCUUCGGGGCUAAAUGCAUUUGUGCUAAGUUAUAGCAUUUUAUAGACAACUUGUUGACUAUGAUUUGUCUUGUAGCUUACUCGCUUAUGUUAUUUUACCUACGCUUAGGAUGUUGAGCGCAUGUCUCUCUCU
Molecule: ribosomal RNA, 775 nt
Filed under: uncultured Neocallimastigales
Lineage: Eukaryota; Fungi; Neocallimastigomycota; Neocallimastigomycetes; Neocallimastigales
Description: partial large subunit ribosomal RNA
Rfam family: Eukaryotic large subunit ribosomal RNA
Source: RNAcentral